Long non-coding RNA from Gasterosteus aculeatus aculeatus (three-spined stickleback), 302 nucleotides. NCBI's taxonomy places the organism in Eukaryota, Metazoa, Chordata, Actinopteri, Perciformes, Gasterosteidae. The record is from Ensembl.
CGCUCGCUCCCCAGAGAUCGUCCGCAAAUUAAUACAAAUCGGAGCCCUCUUCUCCGCCCGAGCCUCGCCGCUCACCUUCCCCCCAGCGCAGCCUUUGGCCCGCGCCCAGCGCAGCGCCGUCACGGUGACCUUGGCCCGUCUCCUGUUGGCGCGGCGGACGCGCGGAGAUUAGCGGGCGAGUGUCCGAGUCCAGCAGCUUCCUCCGUGAUGACGCCUACGGUCCGGGCUGCCAAAUGAGCCGCAGCCAGCGGAGCUCAAGUGAGGGAAGAAACUCAAAGACAGAAAUAUGAUGAGCAGGUAGG